CUCGUAGCUCAGCUGAUAGAGCGUGCGCGUACAAAGCGUAGGCAACACCCAUGCGUGGGUUCGAAUCCCACUGGG
Molecule: transfer RNA, 75 nt
Filed under: Echinostoma caproni
Lineage: Eukaryota; Metazoa; Platyhelminthes; Trematoda; Plagiorchiida; Echinostomatidae
Rfam family: tRNA
About the family: Transfer RNA (tRNA) molecules are approximately 80 nucleotides in length. Their secondary structure includes four short double-helical elements and three loops (D, anti-codon, and T loops).
Source: Rfam by way of RNAcentral